UACGUAGGGGGCGAGCGUUGUCCGGAUUCAUUGGGCGUAAAGAGCGCGUAGGCGGCUCGAUAAGUGUGAAGUGAAAUCUCUAGGGCUCAACCCAGAAACUGCUUUACAUACUGUCGAGCUGGAGUGAUGAAGAGGUUUGUGGAAUUCCUGGUGUAGCGGUGAAAUGCGUUGAUAUCAGGAGGAACACCCAUGGCGAAGGCAGCAAACUGGUCAUCAACUGACGCUGAGGCGCGAAAGCGUGGGUAGCAAACAGG
Molecule: ribosomal RNA, 254 nt
Filed under: uncultured bacterium
Lineage: Bacteria
Description: partial 16S ribosomal RNA
Rfam family: Bacterial small subunit ribosomal RNA
Source: RNAcentral